RNAcentral lists this unclassified non-coding RNA (334 nucleotides) under soil metagenome. RNAcentral describes it as "partial contains 5.8S ribosomal RNA, internal transcribed spacer 2, and large subunit ribosomal RNA". The stretch from base 1 to 120 matches the Rfam family "5.8S ribosomal RNA", at positions 35 to 154 of the family's 154-position model. The record is from RNAcentral.
GAUGAAGAACGUAGCGAAAUGCGAUAAGUAAUGUGAAUUGCAGAAUUCAGUGAAUCAUCGAAUCUUUGAACGCACAUUGCGCCCGCCAGUAUUCUGGCGAGCAUGCCUGUUCGAGCGUCAUUUCAACCAUCAAGCCCCAGGCUUGUGUUGGAGCCCUGCGGCUGCCGCAGCCUCCCAAAACCAGUGGCGGGCUCGCUAUCACACCGAGUGCAGUAGUUUACUCUUCGCUCAGGGCGUGUGGCGGGUGCUAGCCGUGAAACCCCGAACUUCUCAAGGUUGACCUCGGAUCAGGUAGGAAUACCCGCUGAACUUAAGCAUAUCAAUAAGCGGAGGA